Molecule: transfer RNA, 86 nt
Filed under: Acidobacteriota bacterium
Lineage: Bacteria; Pseudomonadati; Acidobacteriota
Also listed under: 1 other name
Description: tRNA-Leu
Rfam family: tRNA
About the family: Transfer RNA (tRNA) molecules are approximately 80 nucleotides in length. Their secondary structure includes four short double-helical elements and three loops (D, anti-codon, and T loops).
Source: RNAcentral
GCCCGAGUGGCGAAAUGGCAGACGCAGUAGACUCAAAAUCUACCGUCCUUACGGGCGUGCCGGUUCGAGUCCGGCCUCGGGCACCA